AGUGGCAGUUACGUAAAUAUAUUGAAACCUUCAAUAUUUCCCCAGCUAUACCGAACGGAUCAAUUUUCCCCAACCUUUUCUUGGUUUUCCCCUUCACAGCUUCACUUCUCCUCAUAAUAUUUUACGAACAGAAGCAAAGCCUCUCGCUUGCUCGCUCUCUCGUCGUUGCGAGCAUUUUUUCCUAAGGAUUAUCAGUCGAAGCUCUAUUAUCUGAUCUCUUCAGUAUCAAAAUUGUCUGGAUCUGUAGGGCUUGUGGUUCUCGAUCUCUGAUUGCCUGAGCAAUUCUUCGAUUAGGGAUCUCUUCUCGUUGUUUCAGCCGCAAUAAUGCCUCUCAGACUCGAAAUCAAGAGAAAACUUGCACAAAGAUCAGAGAGAGUAAAAUCCGUGGAUCUACAUCCAACAGAACCAUGGAUUCUCGCAAGCCUUUAUUCGGGAUCUGUAUGCGUCUGGAACUACCAGUCCCAGAUUAUGGUAAAAUCUUUUGAGGUCACCGAGUUGCCAGUUCGAUCAGCAAAAUUUAUAGCACGCAAGCAAUGGAUUGUUGUUGGAGCUGAUGACAUGUUCAUACGUGUUUACAAUUACAAUACGAUGGACAAGGUCAGAGUGUUCGAAGCACACACAGAUUACAUCAGGUGUGUGGCAGUCCAUCCAACGCUUCCAUAUGUGUUGUCAUCAUCUGAUGACAUGCUUAUAAAACUCUGGGAUUGGGAGAAGGGCUGGAUGUGCACUCAAAUUUUUGAGGGCCAUUCUCACUAUGUGAUGCAAGUGACAUUCAAUCCAAAAGACACCAACACUUUUGCUAGUGCCUCCCUUGAUCGGACUAUAAAGAUUUGGAAUCUUGGCUCCCCUGACCCAAAUUUUACAUUGGAUGCCCAUGUGAAAGGGGUAAAUUGCGUUGAUUACUUUACUGGUGGUGACAAGCCAUAUCUGAUCACUGGUUCUGAUGAUCAUACUGCUAAGGUGUGGGACUACCAAACCAAAAGUUGUGUCCAAACGCUAGAAGGUCAUACACACAAUGUUUCUGCUGUUUGUUUCCAUCCUGAACUUCCCAUAAUAAUUACAGGCUCUGAGGAUGGGACUGUUCGUAUAUGGCAUGCAACCACUUAUAGGCUUGAGAACACAUUGAAUUAUGGUCUUGAGCGAGUAUGGGCUAUUGGAUACAUGAAAAGUUCACGCCGGGUUGUGAUUGGUUAUGACGAAGGAACUAUUAUGAUAAAAAUUGGUCGAGAAGAGCCAGUCGCUAGUAUGGAUAGUAGCGGUAAAAUUAUAUGGGCUAAGCAUAAUGAAAUCCAGACUGUGAACAUUAGGAGUGUUGGGGCAGAUUUUGAGGUGACAGAUGGAGAACGAUUGCCAUUGGCUGUGAAGGAGUUGGGAACCUGUGAUCUUUACCCUCAGAGCUUAAAGCACAAUCCAAAUGGGAGGUUUGUUGUUGUUUGUGGGGAUGGCGAGUAUAUCAUUUAUACUGCUCUAGCCUGGAGAAAUAGAUCCUUUGGUUCAGCCCUGGAAUUUGUUUGGUCAUCAGAUGGGGAAUAUGCUGUUAGAGAGAGUACAUCGAAAAUUAAGAUUUUUAGUAAAACAUUCCAGGAAAAGAAGAGUAUUCGACCAACAUUUUCUGCUGAACGUAUUUUUGGAGGAACUUUACUAGCGAUGUGCUCAAAUGACUUUAUUUGCUUUUAUGAUUGGGCUGAAUGUAGGUUGCUUCGAAGAAUCGAUGUGAAUGUCAAAAAUCUAUAUUGGGCUGAUAGUGGAGAUCUAGUUGCAAUUGCCAGUGAUACUUCAUUUUACAUCCUUAAGUACAAUCGAGAUAUUGUGUCAUCUUAUUUAGAUGGUGGAAGAGCAGUAGAUGAGCAGGGUGUUGAGGAUGCUUUUGAGCUUCUCCAUGAAACAAAUGAGCGAGUCAGGACAGGAAUAUGGGUUGGGGACUGUUUCAUUUACAACAACUCUUCUUGGCGACUUAACUACUGUGUUGGUGGCGAGGUUACAACUAUGUUUCACUUAGAUCGGCCCAUGUACUUGUUGGGCUAUCUUGCUAGUCAAAGUCGGGUGUAUCUUAUAGACAAAGAAUUCAAUGUUAUGGGAUACACCUUGCUUCUUAGUAUGAUUGAGUAUAAGACUCUUGUGAUGCGUGGAGACCUGGAACGGGCAAAUGAGGUUCUACCCUCAAUUCCAAAGGAGCAUUAUAAUAGUGUGGCUCGUUUCUUGGAAUCGCGAGGUAUGCUAGAGGAGGCACUAGAAGUAGCUACAGAUCCUAAUUACAGAUUUGAUCUGGCCAUCCAACUUGGGAGACUAGAAGAUGCAAAGGUAAUCGCCACAGAAGUACAAAGUGAAUCGAAAUGGAAGCAGUUGGGAGAAUUAGCUAUGUCUACUGGAAAGUUAGAAAUGGCAGAACAAUGUUUACAACAUGCUAUGGACUUGAGUGGAUUGUUGCUUCUAUACUCUGCUCUUGGAGAUGCUGAAGGAAUAUCAAAACUUGCAUCUCUUGCUAAAGAGCAAGGAAAGAAUAAUGUUGCGUUUCUCUGCUUAUUUAUGCUAGGAAAAUUGGAAGAGUGCCUCCAACUAUUAGUAGAAAGCAACCGGAUACCUGAAGCUGCUUUGAUGGCCCGUUCCUAUCUACCAAGCAAGGUCUCAGAGAUAGUUGCAAUUUGGAGAAAUGAUCUCAAUAAGAUUAACCAAAAAGCCGCAGAGUCUUUGGCAGAUCCCGAAGAGUACCCUAAUCUUUUUGAGGACUGGCAGGUUGCUCUUGCCGUUGAAUCUAAGGUUGCAGAGGGAAGGGGCAUUUACCCUCCUGCUGAAGAAUACUUGAGAUAUGCCGAGAAAUCAAAUGCCAACCUUGUGGAAGCUUUCAAAAGCAUGCAAAUUGAUGGAGAGGAAGAGGCACCAUUGGAAAAUGGAGAUACUGAUACUGGUCAUGAGGAGGUGAUAGAAGAGAACGGAGAAGAGGAGGGCCAAGAAGAGGCUAUCGAAGUGGAUGCCGAUUCAACAGAUGGAGCUGUCCUUGUUAAUGGAAACGAGGCUGACGAAGAGUGGGGUACGAAUAAUGAAGGAACUCCGACAGCCUAAAAGCAAUUGGUUGGGCAAGUGUGAAAAUCCAAUUUUUGUUCCGUGCUUACGCCACGUCACUAGGUCCCAUGAAGACAUCCGGUUCCAGAUGUUAUACACCCUAUUUUGAAGUUUUACCAUCAGGAGAGACGCCAGAAAGAGAGAAUUCAGGGACCGGUUGUUUUUGGCGUAACCUGGGGUGGUGUGGUGUAUCGGAGCCCAUGGAAUUUUUUCAUCAUAGCCAAUACAGAUAUGGUUAUGUAAUCAGUUUCCCAACUCCAAUUGGUUUAGUGGCAUUUGUUCUUGGAAGCUUUCCUUAAUGUACCAUUGUGAGUUACAGUAGCAGAGUUGUGCUAGAGAUGAUUUGUUCAGGUUCAACCCUUCUUCCCCACAAUUUUUUUAAUAUUAUUUUUUUUGGGCUUC
This is an RNA transcript of Macadamia integrifolia, 3462 nucleotides long. It is a transcript of the gene named coatomer subunit beta'-1-like, with no coding region annotated. Lineage: Eukaryota; Viridiplantae; Streptophyta; Magnoliopsida; Proteales; Proteaceae. The record is from RefSeq and is a predicted model, not a curated record. The transcript is spliced from 26 exons.